CACGGACCAAGGAGUUUAUCGUGUACGCAAGUCAUUGGGUAAAUGAAACCCAUAGGCGAAAUGAAAGUAAAGAGUAGUGUUAUUUGGAUUUAUUCCUUUUAGCUCUCUUUAAGGGAAGAUAGAAAUCUUGUAAAUAAAAAUAUUUUUUAUUCUAUAGAAGAUAUUUGUUUAUAUAGAUUUCUGGCAUUCCCGGGGCGCUUUGUUUUACGCUUUGCGUAUCGAUGCGCACCUAGAGCGUACACGCUGAUACCCGAAAGAUGGUGAACUAUGCCUGGCCAGGACGAAGCCAGGGGAAACCCUGGUGGAGGUCCGCAGCGAUUCUGACGUGCAAAUCGAUCGUCGGAGCUGGGUAUAGGGGCGAAAGACCAAUCGAACCAUCUAGUAGCUGGUUCCCUCUGAAGUUUCCCUCAGGAUAGCUUGCGCUCGGUUGAGACGAGUCUCAUCCGGUAGAGCGAAUGAUUAGAGGCAUUGGGGUCGAAACGACCUCAACCUAUUCUCAAACUCCAAAUAGAUGAGAACCCCGGCUUUCUUAAAAUUGAAGCCGUGGGAUUCGGAUCAGAGUGCCAAGUGGGCCAAUUUUGGUAAGCAGAACU
Molecule: ribosomal RNA, 593 nt
Filed under: Microlestria nr. fuscicollis 00052226
Lineage: Eukaryota; Metazoa; Arthropoda; Insecta; Hemiptera; Reduviidae
Description: eukaryotic LSU rRNA
Rfam family: Eukaryotic large subunit ribosomal RNA
Source: RNAcentral